CACGGGGGGAGCAAGCGUUGUUCGGAAUCACUGGGCGUAAAGGGCGUCUAGGCGGUUUGGUAAGUGGAAUGUGAAAUCCCUCGGCUCACCCGAGGACCUGCAUCCCAAACUGCCGAGCUUGAGUAUGGGAGAGGAUGAGGGAAUUCCUGGUGUAGCGGUGAAAUGCGUAGAUAUCAGGAGGAACACCGGUGGUGUAGACGGCUCACUGGACCAUAACUGACGCUGAGACACGAAAGCGUGGGUAGCAAACAGG
Molecule: ribosomal RNA, 253 nt
Filed under: uncultured bacterium
Lineage: Bacteria
Description: partial 16S ribosomal RNA
Rfam family: Bacterial small subunit ribosomal RNA
Source: RNAcentral